ACGCCAUGGAAAUUGGUUCCAUUUGAAAAUAUUUAAAAAACAAUAUUAUUUUUUUUUAAGUAAAAAUAACCUUUUUUUUAUUAUUCUUUUUCUAAAAUUAACGUUGUUUUUUAACUUAUUUAUUAUGAAGUUAAGGACUGGGGUGAAGUCGUAACAAGGUUUCCGUAGGUGAACCUGCAGAAGGAUCAAGAUCGGAAGGGCACCCGCCUGAACCCCAGUCACGCGGCCUAGCUUCGUAUGCCUCAUUCUUCUUGAAACAAAAAAUCCUUCCCACCCC
RNAcentral lists this unclassified non-coding RNA (277 nucleotides) under sea anemone metagenome. RNAcentral describes it as "partial contains small subunit ribosomal RNA and internal transcribed spacer 1". The record is from RNAcentral.